AUCAGGGGUAAACCUGUGGAACUCGAACGAACGAACGGGGAGAUUCACCGUAUUUCCGUAAAAAUUACAGGGUCCGCGAUGCGAUUCGUUUACCGCGGUCGUUGCGUUUCUCUAAACCGGAAGCGUUUACGGUCGUGGCGGUCGCGUCGUAGCGUACGGCCCGCGGAGUGCGUGCACUUCUCCCUCAGUAAAACACCGCGACCCGUUCGGAUAUAUAGAUACGAUCGAACGCACCGUGCGGUUGUCCCGUUUCGAACUUAAAAAAUUCGGGGCGGAGCCGCGGUGUCGCGAUCGUCUUCAGACGGUAAAAUACAAGGUUCACGUUCGCCGGUGUACGUAUUGUGAAAAUAAUAUAUUACACAAGGCGUCCGUGUCGUGAACCGGACGAACCUCGUUCGGACCUCGACGUUUACGCGUCGUGGGCUCCGCGCGCAAUUUAAAGUCUGUUCGUUCGCGUAUCGCGACGUCUCGGACGGAACGUGUCCCGGUCGGCGGUGGUUUUGUUUCGGGCACUCACAGGACCC
Molecule: ribosomal RNA, 524 nt
Filed under: Polymorphanisus semperi
Lineage: Eukaryota; Metazoa; Arthropoda; Insecta; Trichoptera; Hydropsychidae
Description: partial large subunit ribosomal RNA
Source: RNAcentral